This is a non-coding RNA of Physcomitrium patens, 671 nucleotides long. NCBI's taxonomy places the organism in Eukaryota, Viridiplantae, Streptophyta, Bryopsida, Funariales, Funariaceae. The record is from RefSeq and is a predicted model, not a curated record.
GAAGCUAAGUAGGAAAAGUUUCAACAAGACGAGUGUUGACGAAGGUAAUGUAGCACGGGAGAAGGUCAGACAGGGAUAGAUUGCCUUUUGUUACGAGGUACAUGGGGCGGCCACUUCGCGCGCAAACGCUCAUCUCUUCCGGGCGUCCCUGUGUUGAUUGAGGGAGAAAUCUUCGGAUGUGUCUCCCCUCCCUUAUUUGUAGGCUAGUCGAGCCACUAGCCACUGGAAACGAUAUGGGAUUUAUGCCAUUAGGACUCGCACCAACGAGGCACUGCCGAGCAGCACAGUCGGGGGGAGGGGGGGUCACAUUCCAACCAUGCUUUGGAUGGGUGGAGAAGGAGGCUGGGUGCAGUCAGGCCAGAAACUGGCUGUUGCUGCUGCUGCAUGAUCUGUGUAGAUUCCACUUGGUGAGCAAUGUGGGAGUGGGAUGCUGAGAAAUCAACCUAGGGUUUUGUUGCAAUACCAUUGUUAUGUGUGGGUUUGUUGUUGCGUUACCAUGGUGCGACCAUUGUCGAUUUUUUUUAAUUUUUUUAUUCUAAGAUUCAAUUCACACAUUUGCUAGGUUUAGUGUUGGGUUGUUAAAGAGCAAUUGUUGGAUUUAGCGUUCAGUUAGACUUUAGAUAUACAGUAAAAUUUGUUUUCAAAAGAAAUAAUUUAAACUAUUUGCUGAA